GCCCAGCUAGCUCAGUAGGUAGAGUAUGAGACUCUUAAUCUCAGGGCUGUGGGUUCAAGCCCCAUAAUGGGUG
Molecule: non-coding RNA, 73 nt
Organism: Apodemus sylvaticus (European woodmouse)
Lineage: Eukaryota; Metazoa; Chordata; Mammalia; Rodentia; Muridae
Source: the annotation of a RefSeq genome assembly